UACGAAGGGGGCUAGCGUUGCUCGGAAUUACUGGGCGUAAAGGGCGCGUAGGCGGACACUUAAGUCGGGGGUGAAAGCCCAGGGCUCAACCCUGGAAUAGCCUUCGAUACUGGGUAUCUUGAGUUCGGGAGAGGUGAGUGGAACUCCGAGUGUAGAGGUGAAAUUCGUAGAUAUUCGGAAGAAACACCAGUGGCGAAGGCGACUCACUGGCCCGAUACUGACGCUGAGGCGCGAAAGCGUGGGGAGCAAACAGG
This 254-nucleotide ribosomal RNA is filed under the name uncultured bacterium. RNAcentral describes it as "partial 16S ribosomal RNA". It matches the Rfam family "Bacterial small subunit ribosomal RNA", at positions 524 to 776 of the family's 1533-position model. The record is from RNAcentral.